Molecule: ribosomal RNA, 301 nt
Filed under: uncultured bacterium
Lineage: Bacteria
Description: partial 16S ribosomal RNA
Rfam family: Bacterial small subunit ribosomal RNA
Source: RNAcentral
CAGCCGCCGCGGUAAUACGAAGGGUGCAAGCGUUACUCGGAAUUACUGGGCGUAAAGCGUGCGUAGGUGGUGGUUUAAGUCCGUUGUGAUAGCCCUGGGCUCAACCUGGGAAUUGCAGUGGAUACUGGGUCACUAGAGUGUGGUAGAGGAUAGUGGAAUUUCCGGUGUAGCAGUGAAAUGCGUAGAGAUCGGAAGGAACAUCUGUGGCGAAGGCGACUAUCUGGGCCAACACUGACACUGAGGCACGAAAGCGUGGGGAGCAAACAGGAUUAGAUACCCCCGUAGUCCUGUCUCUUAUACA